This is a non-coding RNA of Pelobates cultripes (western spadefoot toad), 233 nucleotides long. The record is from the annotation of a GenBank genome assembly. Lineage: Eukaryota; Metazoa; Chordata; Amphibia; Anura; Pelobatidae.
UGUGAAGAUGCAGACCAGUCAAGCUUAUUAAAAAGGAAAUAUUUUAUUAGACAAAUUAAAACAAAGCCAAGUCGAUUUUCAUACUAGUAGUAAGACAGUUCACUAAUAUGAAAAGAACAACCCAACUACCAAUAUAAUUCCAACAAUAAUUACAUUAAAGAAUUGAGUCUGAAUACAAACCAUAUCCCACAUCGUUUCUGCUGUCCACAUUUUUCUUUGCCAAGGAACCCAAU